RNAcentral lists this long non-coding RNA (1605 nucleotides) under Monomorium pharaonis (pharaoh ant). Its description in RNAcentral is "uncharacterized LOC118646622". The record is from RNAcentral. Lineage: Eukaryota; Metazoa; Arthropoda; Insecta; Hymenoptera; Formicidae.
UAUCCAGCGCUAUCGAUUGUAUAAUCCAAACGCACAGCUUGCCGUCCGGUUAUACAUAAAUUUAACGCACGCACUGUGUAUCGUGUCCCGCGUGCCUUCGUGUAACUGUCGCAUCCAGUCGAUUCAUGAUCGACUUCCUUUCUCCCGGGGAAUUAUUGCUUGGGUAUCCACUUGUGAUAACUUGUGUGAUAAACCGGCGCGGCCGGUCACCGCACCGUAAACACUUGCUCUCAAAUCUUGCGCGUUAAUUACACGCACCGCGCCCGCACCAGAUAUUAAAUUCUUGCCAGGACUCGUCGGGCAUCGAUCGACCCGCGUACACGAAGGACACGCGCACGCUCCGCCCGAAUACGUGAUUCUUCCGCGCUUCCCGCAAUUAACGCUCAAUUAAUGUCCUCCGUGAGAUCGCGCGCGGCGGUGAAGGGGGAGCGAGGGGGGGGGGGAUAGGGAAGGAGGACGCGCCGGAGAUAUGCGCCGCGAUCGAGAGAGACGCCGAGGGACGAACGAGGAGAAUGAAAACGCGGAUCGAUUACCAGAGCGUGCUAUCGUGCAGGCGUAAAAGGCGUAAACGCGUUGUUUUGCGUCGGCGAUAAUGCAACGCGCGAAAUAAUCAAUCGCGCGCGUCUGGUGAUCCCGAAAUUCCUCUUCUCCCUUCCCCUCCCUUGAAAUUUCCAUGUCAAAGGGUUGUAGCCGGAAUCGCUCGAUUCUCUCCUUCCGCGGAUAUGACCCGAACGAAAAUCAUUAAACGGAGAACAGAGAGAUCACGAUACUCUCUCUCUCUCCUUCUCGCAGAUGCUCUCGGGUUAGAGACCGCGGCGUCCUGUUCGUUAUGUCACCGGAGACGCGUGCCGCGGGAAUUACUUAAUCUCGCAGCGUGAGGUCAUCCCGGCCUCUGGAAAUAGACGGUGACAGUUCGCGGCGAACGCGACAGCGCGGCCGUGCAACACCACGUGCGAGUCGCCGGAGCCUCCCACGACGCGGCGGAUGGGACGAGAAACCGCUUAUAUGAUGAAAUUCGUGCAGCGCGUUUUUAUCGAGUGCAUACGACGCGCUUGUGUCCCUAGGCACGAAUCUUUUGUCGUUAAUAUGAAAUUAUAGAACAAAUAUUAAUGUAUCGUUAGUAUCUUAUAUUAAGUGACAAUUAUAUUAAAGUGACAAUUUUUUAAAUACAGCUUUAAGCUUGACGCACAUACGUAAAAUUGGUUUUGAGAAUUUAUUGAAUUCUGUAGAGUAAAUUAGGGUAGGACGGCCAAUGGCUAUAAUUUCUUCAAUAAUUGCUUAAUAAUUUCUUCUUGUAAUUAUUUUCAAAGCUAAUCGAUAUUUACUGUAGUUUAUGUGCGUAUAUUAUACUAUUCGAAAUAACACAAUAUUAUGGAUAUUGUAUCACGUUUUUACUUUUGACUGCCUGUAAAGUUUUCUCAUGUGUUCAUUUAAAAAUGUCGCAAUGUCGAAUAAAUUACAGUUAAGCUAUCAAAAUUAACAAAGGCACAUAACGAAGACAUGUAAAUUGCAAUUAUGUAAUGUGUGUAAAUUGUAAUUAUAUAUUUUAUUUCCUUUUCUAUUUUUUAAAUAAAUAUUGUGACUACCUUUCUCUCACAGUUUGGG